UACGGAGGGGGCUAGCGUUGUUCGGAAUUACUGGGCGUAAAGCGCGCGUAGGCGGACCUGCAAGUCGGGGGUGAAAGCCCGAGGCUCAACCUCGGAACUGCCUUCGAUACUGCGGGUCUCGAGUCCGGGAGAGGUGAGUGGAAUUCCUAGUGUAGAGGUGAAAUUCGUAGAUAUUAGGAAGAACACCAGUGGCGAAGGCGGUUGCCUGGGGCUUUGCUGACGCUGAUGCGCGAAAGCGUGGGGAGCGAUCCGG
This 253-nucleotide ribosomal RNA is filed under the name uncultured bacterium. RNAcentral describes it as "partial 16S ribosomal RNA". It matches the Rfam family "Bacterial small subunit ribosomal RNA", at positions 524 to 776 of the family's 1533-position model. The record is from RNAcentral.